This 397-nucleotide ribosomal RNA is filed under the name Acanthamoeba sp. BRO9. RNAcentral's name for it is "SSU rRNA". It matches the Rfam family "Eukaryotic small subunit ribosomal RNA", at positions 786 to 1088 of the family's 1831-position model. The record is from RNAcentral. Lineage: Eukaryota; Discosea; Longamoebia; Acanthamoebidae.
GUUAUGCCACCGAAUACAUUAGCAUGGGAUAAUGGAAUAGGACCCUGUCCUCCUAUUUUCAGUUGGUUUAGGCAGCGCGAGGACUAGGGUAAUGAUUAAUAGGGAUAGUUGGGGGCAUUAAUAUUUAAUUGUCAGAGGUGAAAUUCUUGGAUUUAUGAAAGAUUAACUUCUGCGAAAGCAUCUGCCAAGGAUGUUUUCAUUAAUCAAGAACGAAAGUAAGGGGAUCGAAGACGAUCAGAUACCGUCGUAGUCUUAACCAUAAACGAUGCCGACCAGCGAUUAGGAGACGUUGAAUACAAAACACCGCCAUCGGUGCGGUCGCCCUUGGCGGUCGGUUUCGGCCGGCCGCGGGGGUGGCUUAGCCCGGUGGCACCGGUGAAUGACUCCCCUAGCAGCU